Molecule: ribosomal RNA, 414 nt
Filed under: uncultured Sebacinaceae
Lineage: Eukaryota; Fungi; Basidiomycota; Agaricomycetes; Sebacinales; Sebacinaceae
Description: eukaryotic LSU rRNA
Rfam family: 5.8S ribosomal RNA (bases 1-105)
Source: RNAcentral
GAAAUGCGAUAAGUAAUGUGAAUUGCAGAAUUCAGUGAAUCAUCGAAUCUUUGAACGCACCUUGCACCCUUUGGUAUUCCAAAGGGUAUGCCCGUUUGAGUGUCAUUAUACUCUCACACUCUCUAAUUAGUUAGAGAGCGGUGGAUUUGGAUGCUGCCUGGUACUUACUGUCAGGCUCAUCUUAAAUAAAUUAGUGCGACUCUUAGUUAAACAUAGUACGGCGUGAUAAGUAACCCUCGCUGUUUUCUGUCUGAUUAGGAGCUGUGCUUCAACCCGUCUCAGGACAAUAUUUGAUAACUUGACCUCAAAUCGAGUAGGAUUACCCGCUGAACUUAAGCAUAUCAAUAAGCGGAGGAAAAGAAACUAACAAGGAUUCCCCUAGUAACCUGAGACUCCAAGGCACACAGGGGGAUA